Molecule: ribosomal RNA, 553 nt
Filed under: Acrobeloides sp. GSt29
Lineage: Eukaryota; Metazoa; Nematoda; Chromadorea; Rhabditida; Cephalobidae
Description: SSU rRNA
Rfam family: Eukaryotic small subunit ribosomal RNA
Source: RNAcentral
GUGGAUUUUUAGCCCUGGUGGGUAGCUUCCCGGAAACGAAAGUCUUCCGGUUCCGGGGGAAGUAUGGUUGCAAAGCUGAAACUUAAAGGAAUUGACGGAAGGGCACCACCAGGAGUGGAGCCUGCGGCUUAAUUUGACUCAACACGGGGAAACUCACCCGGCCCGGACACCGUAAGGAUUGACAGAUUGAUAGCUCUUUCAUGAUUCGGUGGUUGGUGGUGCAUGGCCGUUCUUAGUUCGUGGAUCGAUUUGUCUGGUUUAUUCCGAUAACGAGCGAGACUCUAGCCUACUAAAUAGUAACGAGAUUAUCAAUGUCUCAGUUGCUUCUUAGAGGGAUUUUCGGUGUUUAGCCGCACGAGAUUGAGCAAUAACAGGUCUGUGAUGCCCUUAGAUGUCCGGGGCUGCACGCGCGCUACACUGGCGAAAUCAGCGUGCUGUAUCCAUUCUCGAAAGGGAUUGGUAAACCCAUGAAAAUUUGCCGUGCUUGGGAUCGGAAAUUGCAAUUAUUUUCCGUGAACGAGGAAUUCCAAGUAAGUGCGAGUCAUCAACUCGC